Molecule: ribosomal RNA, 253 nt
Filed under: uncultured bacterium
Lineage: Bacteria
Description: partial 16S ribosomal RNA
Rfam family: Bacterial small subunit ribosomal RNA
Source: RNAcentral
UACGGAGGGGGCUAGCGUUGUUCGGAAUUACUGGGCGUAAAGCGCGCGUAGGCGGACCUGCAAGUCGGGGGUGAAAGCCCGAGGCUCAACCUCGGAACUGCCUUCGAUACUGCCGGUCUCGAGUCCGGGAGAGGUGAGUGGAAUUCCUAGUGUAGAGGUGAAAUUCGUAGAUAUUAGGAAGAACACCAGUGGCGAAGGCGGCUCACUGGCCCGGUACUGACGCUGAGGCGCGAAAGCGUGGGGAGCAAACAGG